Molecule: ribosomal RNA, 574 nt
Filed under: uncultured bacterium
Lineage: Bacteria
Description: partial 16S ribosomal RNA
Rfam family: Bacterial small subunit ribosomal RNA
Source: RNAcentral
UGGGGAAUUUUGGACAAUGGGCGAAAGCCUGAUCCAGCAAUGCCGCGUGUGUGAAGAAGGCCUUCGGGUUGUAAAGCACUUUUGUCCGGAAAGAAAUCCUUGGCUCUAAUACAGUCGGGGGAUGACGGUACCGGAAGAAUAAGCACCGGCUAACUACGUGCCAGCAGCCGCGGUAAUACGUAGGGUGCAAGCGUUAAUCGGAAUUACUGGGCGUAAAGCGUGCGCAGGCGGUUUGCUAAGACCGAUGUGAAAUCCCCGGGCUCAACCUGGGAACUGCAUUGGUGACUGGCAGGCUAGAGUAUGGCAGAGGGGGGUAGAAUUCCACGUGUAGCAGUGAAAUGCGUAGAGAUGUGGAGGAAUACCGAUGGCGAAGGCAGCCCCCUGGGGCCAAUACUGGCGCUCAUGCACGAAAGCGUGGGGAGCAAACAGGAUUAGAUACCCUGGGUAGUCCACGCCCUAAACGAUGUCAACUAGUUGUUGGGGAUUCAUUUCCUUAGUAACGUAGCUAACGCGUGAAGUUGACCGCCUGGGGAGUACGGUCGUCAAGAUUAAAACUUAAAGGAAUUGACGGGGU